This 325-nucleotide unclassified non-coding RNA is filed under the name soil metagenome. RNAcentral's name for it is "partial contains 5.8S ribosomal RNA, internal transcribed spacer 2, and large subunit ribosomal RNA". The stretch from base 1 to 121 matches the Rfam family "5.8S ribosomal RNA", at positions 35 to 154 of the family's 154-position model. The record is from RNAcentral.
GAUGAAGAACGUAGCGAAAUGCGAUAAGUAAUGCGAAUUGCAGAAUUCCAGUGAGUCAUCGAAUCUUUGAACGCACAUUGCGCCCGGUGGUAUUCCGCCGGGCACGCCUGUCCGAGCGUCAUUGCAACAAUCACGCCUCGCGUGGUGUUGGGGGCCGUCGCGUCUGCGACCCCCCCGGAACUCGUUGGCGGUGGCCUCUCGCCCCGAUCGUCGCGCAUGUUACGACGGGAAGGGAGGACGCUUGCCGAACCACCAAUUACGCUACGUUUGACCUCGGAUCAGGCGGGGAUACCCGCUGAACUUAAGCAUAUCAAUAAGCGGAGGA